GCGAAGGUGGCGAAAUUGGUAGACGCACCAGGUUUAGGUCCUGACGCCCGUUUAGGGUGUGCGGGUUCGAGUCCCGCCCUUCGCACCA
RNAcentral lists this transfer RNA (88 nucleotides) under Orrella daihaiensis. Its description in RNAcentral is "Orrella sp. f23 tRNA-Leu". It matches the Rfam family "tRNA". Rfam says of the family: Transfer RNA (tRNA) molecules are approximately 80 nucleotides in length. Their secondary structure includes four short double-helical elements and three loops (D, anti-codon, and T loops). Lineage: Bacteria; Pseudomonadati; Pseudomonadota; Betaproteobacteria; Burkholderiales; Alcaligenaceae. The record is from RNAcentral.